GGGGAUUUAGCUCAGUGGCAUAAGCACCUGCCUUGCAAGCAGGCAGUAGCGAGUUCGAUUCCCAGCACCUA
Molecule: transfer RNA, 71 nt
Filed under: Cavia porcellus (domestic guinea pig)
Lineage: Eukaryota; Metazoa; Chordata; Mammalia; Rodentia; Caviidae
Rfam family: tRNA
About the family: Transfer RNA (tRNA) molecules are approximately 80 nucleotides in length. Their secondary structure includes four short double-helical elements and three loops (D, anti-codon, and T loops).
Source: Rfam by way of RNAcentral